AAAACAUUGCCUCUUGUUAAUUCUAUAAAAGGUUCUUCCUGCCCAGUGACCCUCGGGUUUAACGGCCGCGGUACUCUGACCGUGCUAAGGUAGCAUAAUAAUUUGCCCUUUAAUUGGGGGCUAGUAUGAAUGGAUAAACGAAAAUUAUACUGUCUCUACUAAUAAUAUUGAAAUUGAAUUUCAGGUGAAAAUACCUGAAUGAUGAAAUAGGACAAAAAGACCCCGUAGAGCUUCAUUUUUAAUCUACUUUAUUUGUGUAAUUCUACCUACUACUUUCCUAGAUCCAAAAAUUUAGCUGGGGCGGCUAAGGAAAAUUAAAACUUCCAUUUAUUUUAAUACAGGUUCAUACACCUCUUAAAUUGAUCCUUACAUAAGAACAAAAAACAAAGCUACCUCGGGGGUAACAGACUAAUUCUUUUUGAAAGUACACAUUGACAAAAGAGUUUGGCACCUCGAUGUUGGCUUAGGGUAUCCUAAGGGUAAGCAGCAGCCCUUAAAGGUAGGUUUGUUCAACCUUUAAAACCCUACGUGAUCUGA
Molecule: ribosomal RNA, 537 nt
Filed under: Samythella neglecta
Lineage: Eukaryota; Metazoa; Annelida; Polychaeta; Terebellida; Ampharetidae
Description: partial 16S ribosomal RNA
Rfam family: Bacterial large subunit ribosomal RNA
Source: RNAcentral